GCCAAAGAGCAGAUCACACAUUUUGCCUGAAGCUACAGAAUCUACUUCCACAGCAAAGAAACAGCAGAAAAGAGGAGAUAUUCUUAAAAUCUUGACAAAUGAAGAUGUACACUAACCUGAAGGAUGCACAAUGAAUGUGGAAGGAAAUGCAACAGAGUCCAUUUUCAAGGAAGGAAUGGGUGGAUCUUCUUUGAAGUAGCUCACAGAGACCAACCUAUACCCAAGAAGAUUUGGAAUGCAGUUGUUGCCCUAGGUAAAGCUCCAUACCACCCCUUGCACUACAUGUACGCCACGAGAAACAUGAAAACACCACUCAGUCUGUCCUAAAAACAGGAUCAAAAUCAACCACAAACCCCUACUAAAGGACCAAGGACUCACUCAACAAGGCUCUUCGCAAAAUAAAGGCUUCAGAGACUGGUGUCUUCCCAUCCAACUUGAAACUCUGCUCAAGUUUGAUCCAAAAUGGGUGUCAG
Molecule: long non-coding RNA, 473 nt
Organism: Zonotrichia albicollis (white-throated sparrow)
Lineage: Eukaryota; Metazoa; Chordata; Aves; Passeriformes; Passerellidae
Source: RefSeq, a predicted model, not a curated record